Molecule: ribosomal RNA, 516 nt
Filed under: uncultured bacterium
Lineage: Bacteria
Description: bacterial SSU rRNA
Rfam family: Bacterial small subunit ribosomal RNA
Source: RNAcentral
ACGAACGCUGGCGGCGUGCCUAAUACAUGCAAGUCGAACGCGUCUACGUUAAUGAAAUCAAUGUGCUUGCACGGCGAUGGAUUUAACAUUAGACGAGUGGCGAACUGGUGAGUAACACGUGGGUAACCUGCCCUCAAGCAGGGGAUAACACUUGGAAACAGGUGCUAAUACCGUAUAACAACAAAAACCGCAUGGUUUUUGUUUGAAAGAUGGUUUCGGCUAUCACUUGAGGAUGGACCCGCGGCGUAUUAGCUAGUUGGUGAGGUAAUGGCUCACCAAGGCAAUGAUACGUAGCCGACCUGAGAGGGUAAUCGGCCACAUUGGGACUGAGACACGGCCCAAACUCCUACGGGAGGCAGCAGUAGGGAAUCUUCCACAAUGGACGAAAGUCUGAUGGAGCGACGCCGCGUGAGCGAAGAAGUAUUUCGGUAUGUAAAGCUCUAUCAGCAGGGAAGAAAAUGACGGUACCUGACUAAGAAGCCCCGGCUAACUACGUGCCAGCCGCCGCAGUAAGAC